UAACAUUAAGUAGUGUACAUGGUGGUCAUUCAGAUGAUUUUAACAUUUCAAACAUACAAUCAUUUCUUUAAGUAGCAGUGCAGAUGAGAGAAGAACUGAGAUCUUCAUUCCCUCCACUUUUUGGAAGCAAUUUCCCUGUUAAAGAAUAAUCUUUAUUGUAUAUCACAAGAAAGAUAUCUUUGAUUGACUUUUAAUACUGCCCAAUAGAUGGCAGUCAUACACACACAGGGCUAUGCUUCAAAGCCAGGAAAUUAGCACAGCCAGAACCAGAAGCGGGUCCCUGGAUGAAACAGUGAAAGUUCAGCAGCUGAGCUGCAAGAUCACAAGACUGCUGUGGAGGGACAGAUCAGCAGGAGGGAGCCAGGCAGACAUGGAUAUAUUUGCACAGGCACUGGGAUUGGAAUCUGUGUUGCCUUUCACUCAGAGAAUGGAAGGGAAGGAUCUAAACUGACUCCUCGGCCAAAGAGCCUAUGUAAAACUCCUCUGGGAGCUUUGUCCAAGGGCCUGUUGAUGUCAUUCAGCCUGGGAGUUGCAGGACAGAGAUGGAAAUGCAGGUCCUCACUCAAUUCCAGUUCUCCAUCUCUGGAUAGUUCAUUGGUGGAGUACUAUCCAGUUUCUGAAGGCCACGUUGUUUCUGCAGAUUGUUUUGAUACAAUGGGGUUAUCCAGUGGCAGUCCAUGACUGAUGACAGAUCACCUUCUAGUUUGCUAUCCAUACUUUUCCGGCCAGCGCCCACAUUCUUCUGCGUUGCAGCUCUUUUCAUUAUGCAAUAUGCCCUGAUGCUCCCUUUCUGAUUUUGCCCUCUGAAACUUACUGAUAUCAAUUAGAAAGAAUCUUUCCUGAUGGGAAUGACAGAGGACACCCCGUCCCUAUGGCUUCAAGAUAUGUCAAAAGUGAAAAGACACAAAAGCAGAAAUACUUGUUGUGCAACUCAACUGCUAGACCUCCAGCAACACAUCACAACAGUGGAGCCGUGGGAAAGUAUUUAUUUUACCUGUAGGUAUAAUUAUAAGCAAUAAAAAAAAAUCUGUUCAGACCCUGCCA
RNAcentral lists this long non-coding RNA (1044 nucleotides) under Pogona vitticeps (central bearded dragon). RNAcentral's name for it is "lncRNA (ENSPVIG00000013012.1)". The record is from RNAcentral. Lineage: Eukaryota; Metazoa; Chordata; Lepidosauria; Squamata; Agamidae.